GGAAGGUCAGGGAAGCUAUUCGAACGCCAGAUCGAGCCUGGCUCGUAUUUCGUACAAAGUAAACCUGGUUAGGUUAGAGUCAGACAAAUGAAUAACACGUGGGCAACCUGCCAACAAGACCGGGAUAACUCCGGGAAACCGGAACUAAUACCGGAUAACACCAAAGACCGCAUGGUCUUUGGUUGAAAGGCGGCUUCGGCUGGCACUUGCGGAUGGGCCCCCCGCCCAUUAGCUAGUGGGUGAGGUAACGGCUCACCAAGGCGACGAUGCGUAGCCGGCCUGAGAGGGUGACCGGCCUCACUGGGACUGAGACACGGCCCAAACUCCUACGGGAGGCACCAGUAGGGAAUCUUCCUCAAUGGACGAAAGUCUGACGGAGCGACGCCCCGUGAGCGAAAAAGGCCUUCGGGUCUUAAAGCUCUGUUGUGAGGGACCAAUGACCCCCGUUUCAAUAAAAAAAAAAAAAAAAAACGGUACCUCCCAACAAAGCCCCGGCUAACUGGGUGCCAGCACCCGCGGUAAUACGUAGGGGUGCUAGCAUUGUCCGGAAUUAUUGGGCGUAAAGCGCGCGCAGGCGGUCCUUUAAGUCUGAUGUGAAAGCCCACGGCUCAUCCGUGGAGGGUCAUUGGAAACUGGGGGGACUUGACUGCAAAGAGGAGAGCGGAAUUCCACGUGUAGCUGUGAAAUGCCUAGAGAUAUGGAGGAGCACCAUGGCGAAGGCGGCUCCUCUCGGCUGUAACUCGACACUAGGCUCGAAAGCGUGAGGAGCAAACAGAUAUAAUUCUCUCGGUCAUCCCACGCCUAAAUUAUGAGUGGUAAGUGGUUAUAGGGGUCACACCCCUCUAAGGCAUAGCUACAGCUAUUAAUAGUCCUCCCGGGGGAGUAGCAGCCGCAAUAUGAAUAAUAAAAAAAGUGACGCGCGGCCCGCCGAUACAUCCGAUGAAUAUUUUAAUAUACUAGCACCACCGAGAAUAAACCCGUGGCUUGUACUGACCUACAGACCAUGAUUUAUGAGGUGCGCUCUCUCCUUGCCGGACGGGUUAAG
RNAcentral lists this ribosomal RNA (1045 nucleotides) under Geobacillus sp. 1-2. Its description in RNAcentral is "partial 16S ribosomal RNA". The stretch from base 1 to 875 matches the Rfam family "Bacterial small subunit ribosomal RNA", at positions 57 to 873 of the family's 1533-position model. Lineage: Bacteria; Bacillati; Bacillota; Bacilli; Caryophanales; Anoxybacillaceae. RNAcentral also lists the same sequence under 1 other name. The record is from RNAcentral.